UUGAACGCUGGCGGCAUGCUUUACACAUGCAAGUCGAACGGUAACAGGCCGCAAGGUGCUGGCGAGUGGCGAACGGGUGAGUAAUGCAUCGGAACGUGCCCAGUCGUGGGGGAUAACUACUCGAAAGAGUAGCUAAUACCGCAUACGAUCUAUGGAUGAAAGCGGGGGACCGUAAGGCCUCGCGCGAUUGGAGCGGCCGAUGUCAGAUUAGGUAGUUGGUGGGGUAAAGGCUCACCAAGCCAACGAUCUGUAGCUGGUCUGAGAGGACGACCAGCCACACUGGGACUGAGACACGGCCCAGACUCCUACGGGAGGCAGCAGUGGGGAAUUUUGGACAAUGGGCGCAAGCCUGAUCCAGCAAUGCCGCGUGCAGGAAGAAGGCCUUCGGGUUGUAAACUGCUUUUGUACGGAACGAAACGGCUCUGGUUAAUACCCGGGGCUAAUGACGGUACCGUAAGAAUAAGCACCGGCUAACUACGUG
This 481-nucleotide ribosomal RNA is filed under the name uncultured bacterium. Its description in RNAcentral is "partial 16S ribosomal RNA". It matches the Rfam family "Bacterial small subunit ribosomal RNA", at positions 30 to 507 of the family's 1533-position model. The record is from RNAcentral.